UACCAGACUCCUACGGGAGGCAGCAGUGGGGAAUAUUGCACAAUGGGGGGAACCCUGGUGCAGCAAUGCCGCGUGGGUGAAGAAGUACUUCGGUAUGUAAAGCCCUAUCAGCAGGGAAGAAAAUGACGGUACCUGACUAAGAAGCCCCGGCUAACUACGUGCCAGCAGCCGCGGUAAUACGUAGGGGGCGAGCGUUAUCCGGAUUUACUGGGUGUAAAGGGAGCGCAGGCGGCGUGGCAAGUCAGAUGUGAAAACCCGGGGCCCAACCCCGGGACUGCAUUUGAAACUGCCAUGCUGGAGUGCCGGAGAGGUAAGUGGAAUUCCUAGUGUAGCGGUGAAAUGCGUAGAUAUUAGGAGGAACACCAGUGGCGAAGGCGGCUUACUGGACGGUAACUGACGCUGAGGCUCGAAAGCGUGGGGAGCAAACAGGAUUAGAUACCCCCGUA
RNAcentral lists this ribosomal RNA (446 nucleotides) under uncultured bacterium. RNAcentral's name for it is "bacterial SSU rRNA". It matches the Rfam family "Bacterial small subunit ribosomal RNA", at positions 329 to 792 of the family's 1533-position model. The record is from RNAcentral.